RNAcentral lists this ribosomal RNA (462 nucleotides) under uncultured bacterium. Its description in RNAcentral is "bacterial SSU rRNA". It matches the Rfam family "Bacterial small subunit ribosomal RNA", at positions 29 to 506 of the family's 1533-position model. The record is from RNAcentral.
AUGAACGUUGGCGGCGUGGAUUAGGCAUGCAAGUCGAGCGCGAACCCCGCAAGGGGUGAAAGCGGCGAAAGGGAGAGUAACGCGUGGGUAUCUACCCUCGGGACUGGGAUAGCUGCGGGAAACUGCAGGUAAUACCAGAUGACGUCCCCGGACCAAAGGUGUGAUUCCGCCAGAGGAUGAGCCCGCGUCCUAUUAGCUUGUUGGUAGGGUAACGGCCUACCAAGGCAAUGAUGGGUACUGGGUGUGAGAGCACGACCCAGCUCACUGGGACUGAGACACUGCCCAGACACCUACGGGUGGCUGCAGUCGAGAAUCUUCGGCAAUGGGCGAAAGCCUGACCGAGCGACGCCGCGUGUGGGAUGAAGGCCUUCGGGUUGUAAACCGCUGUCAGAGGGGAGGAAAUGCGUGGGGGUACUCCCCUGCGUUUGACCUAUCCUCAGAGGAAGUACGGGCUAAGUUCGU